GGUUAAGCGACUAAGCGUACACGGUGGAUGCCCUGGCAGUCAGAGGCGAUGAAGGACGUGCUAAUCUGCGAAAAGCGUCGGUAAGGUGAUAUGAACCGUUAUAACCGGCGAUGUCCGAAUGGGGAAACCCAGUGCAAUUCGUUGCACUAUCGUUAACUGAAUACAUAGGUUAACGAGGCGAACCGGGGGAACUGAAACAUCUAAGUACCCCGAGGAAAAGAAAUCAACCGAGAUUCCCCCAGUAGCGGCGAGCGAACGGGGAGCAGCCCAGAGUCUGAAUCAGCUUGUGUGUUAGUGGAACGGUCUGGAAAGUCCGACGGUACAGGGUGAUAGUCCCGUACACCAAAAUGCACAGGCUGUGAACUCGAAGAGUAGGGCGGGACACGUGGUAUCCUGUCUGAAUAUGGGGGACCAUCCUCCAAGGCUAAAUACUCCUGACUGACCGAUAGUAAACCAGUACCGUGAGGGAAAGGCGAAAAGAACCCCGGCGAGGGGAGUGAAAAAGAACCUGAAACCGUGUACGUACAAGCAGUGGGAGCACCUUCGGGUGUGACUGCGUACCUUUUGUAUAAUGGGUCAGCGACUUAUAUUCUGUAGCAAGGUUAACCGUAUAGGGGAGCCGCAGGGAAACCGAGUCUUAACUGGGCGUUAAGUUGCAGGGUAUAGACCCGAAACCCGGUGAUCUAGCCAUGGGCAGGUUGAAGGUUGGGUAACACUAACUGGAGGACCGAACCGACUAAUGUUGAAAAAUUAGCGGAUGACUUGUGGCUGGGGGUGAAAGGCCAAUCAAACCGGGAGAUAGCUGGUUCUCCCCGAAAGCUAUUUAGGUAGCGCCUCGUGAAUUCAUCUUCGGGGGUAGAGCACUGUUUCGGCUAGGGGGUCAUCCCGACUUACCAACCCGAUGCAAACUACGAAUACCGAAGAAUGUUAUCACGGGAGACACACGGCGGGUGCUAACGUCCGUCGUGAAGAGGGAAACAACCCAGACCGCCAGCUAAGGUCCCAAAGUCAUGGUUAAGUGGGAAACGAUGUGGGAAGGCACAGACAGCCAGGAUGUUGGCUUAGAAGCAGCCAUCAUUUAAAGAAAGCGUAAUAGCUCACUGGUCGAGUCGGCCUGCGCGGAAGAUGUAACGGGGCUAAACCAUGCACCGAAGCUGCGGCAGCGACACUAUGUGUUGUUGGGUAGGGGAGCGUUCUGUAAGCCUGCGAAGGUGACCUGUGAGGGUUGCUGGAGGUAUCAGAAGUGCGAAUGCUGACAUAAGUAACGAUAAAGCGGGUGAAAAGCCCGCUCGCCGGAAGACCAAGGGUUCCUGUCCAACGUUAAUCGGGGCAGGGUGAGUCGACCCCUAAGGCGAGGCCGAAAGGCGUAGUCGAUGGGAAACAGGUUAAUAUUCCUGUACUUGGUGUUACUGCGAAGGGGGGACGGAGAAGGCUAUGUUAGCCGGGCGACGGUUGUCCCGGUUUAAGCAUGUAGGCUGGUUGUCCAGGCAAAUCCGGAUAAUCAAGGCUGAGGUGUGAUGACGAGGCACUACGGUGCUGAAGUAACAAAUGCCCUGCUUCCAGGAAAAGCCUCUAAGCAUCAGGUAACAUUAAAUCGUACCCCAAACCGACACAGGUGGUCAGGUAGAGAAUACCAAGGCGCUUGAGAGAACUCGGGUGAAGGAACUAGGCAAAAUGGUGCCGUAACUUCGGGAGAAGGCACGCUGGUGUGUAGGUGAAGUCCCUGCGGAUGGAGCUGAGACCAGUCGAAGAUACCAGCUGGCUGCAACUGUUUAUUAAAAACACAGCACUGUGCAAACACGAAAGUGGACGUAUACGGUGUGACGCCUGCCCGGUGCCGGAAGGUUAAUUGAUGGGGUUAUCCGUAAGGAGAAGCUCUUGAUCGAAGCCCCGGUAAACGGCGGCCGUAACUAUAACGGUCCUAAGGUAGCGAAAUUCCUUGUCGGGUAAGUUCCGACCUGCACGAAUGGCGUAAUGAUGGCCAGGCUGUCUCCACCCGAGACUCAGUGAAAUUGAACUCGCUGUGAAGAUGCAGUGUACCCGCGGCAAGACGGAAAGACCCCGUGAACCUUUACUAUAGCUUGACACUGAACAUUGAGCCUUGAUGUGUAGGAUAGGUGGGAGGCUUUGAAGCGUGGACGCCAGUCUGCGUGGAGCCAACCUUGAAAUACCACCCUUUAAUGUUUGAUGUUCUAACGUUGGCCCCUGACCGGGGUUGCGGACAGUGUCUGGUGGGUAGUUUGACUGGGGCGGUCUCCUCCCAAAGCGUAACGGAGGAGCACGAAGGUUAGCUAAUCCUGGUCGGACAUCAGGAGGUUAGUGCAAUGGCAUAAGCUAGCUUGACUGCGAGCGUGACGGCGCGAGCAGGUGCGAAAGCAGGUCAUAGUGAUCCGGUGGUUCUGAAUGGAAGGGCCAUCGCUCAACGGAUAAAAGGUACUCCGGGGAUAACAGGCUGAUACCGCCCAAGAGUUCAUAUCGACGGCGGUGUUUGGCACCUCGAUGUCGGCUCAUCACAUCCUGGGGCUGAAGUAGGUCCCAAGGGUAUGGCUGUUCGCCAUUUAAAGUGGUACGCGAGCUGGGUUUAGAACGUCGUGAGACAGUUCGGUCCCUAUCUGCCGUGGGCGCUGGAGAAUUGAGGGGGGCUGCUCCUAGUACGAGAGGACCGGAGUGGACGCAUCACUGGUGUUCGGGUUGUCAUGCCAAUGGCACUGCCCGGUAGCUAAAUGCGGAAGAGAUAAGUGCUGAAAGCAUCUAAGCACGAAACUUGCCCCGAGAUGAGUUCUCCCUGAGACUUUAAGUCUCCUGAAGGAACGUUGAAGACGACGACGUUGAUAGGCCGGGUGUGUAAGCGCAGCGAUGCGUUGAGCUAACCGGUACUAAUGAACCGUGAGGCUUAACCUU
RNAcentral lists this ribosomal RNA (2901 nucleotides) under Klebsiella pneumoniae. RNAcentral's name for it is "23S ribosomal RNA". It matches the Rfam family "Bacterial large subunit ribosomal RNA". Lineage: Bacteria; Pseudomonadati; Pseudomonadota; Gammaproteobacteria; Enterobacterales; Enterobacteriaceae. The record is from RNAcentral.